AAAAUGCGAUACGUCAUGUGAAUUGCAGAGCACGGCGAAUCAUCGAAUCUUUGAACGCACAUUGCGCCCCGAAGGCCAAGGUCUUCUGGGCACAUCUGUUCGAGUGCCACAAACAAUAAUGUUUCCCUCUCUUCCGAAAGGUAAAAGAGAAGGGUCAAAAUGGAAUCCUGAAUGUCAUUGUGCAUCAGCUUUCUUCAGCACAUAGAGCACAGCAGCGAACAGCGAUUGGACUCCAUGCAAUUAUGUCAUGGUGACAUGCUGAGAAUACAAUUGAGACUUUCGAUAUUGUUCAAAUUCUCAACUUCCCUUCAUAGCUGUAUGAUUAUGUUCUUCUAAAGGAAAACCAAUCUUUUUUAAAGUUGGAACAAUUCAUUGGCCUCGAAUCAGAUGGGGUUACCCGCUGAAUUUAA
Molecule: unclassified non-coding RNA, 410 nt
Filed under: uncultured Helotiales
Lineage: Eukaryota; Fungi; Ascomycota; Leotiomycetes; Helotiales
Description: sequence contains ITS1
Rfam family: 5.8S ribosomal RNA (bases 1-109)
Source: RNAcentral